UUAUACUUUAGUAUUAGGUUGGUGCAAAAGUAAUUGCGGUUUUUGCCAUUAAAAGUAAUAGCAAAAACUGCAGUUGCUUUUGCACCAACCUAAAUAUGUCAC
Molecule: microRNA precursor, 102 nt
Organism: Chlorocebus sabaeus (green monkey)
Lineage: Eukaryota; Metazoa; Chordata; Mammalia; Primates; Cercopithecidae
Source: Ensembl